RNAcentral lists this long non-coding RNA (786 nucleotides) under Homo sapiens (human). Its description in RNAcentral is "VIPR1 antisense RNA 1". Lineage: Eukaryota; Metazoa; Chordata; Mammalia; Primates; Hominidae. The record is from RNAcentral.
AAGGACUGUGCUCCCAAUCCGCUUACGCUCAAGGAAGAACUGGCCCAGAACCAGCCUGCUGUCAGGAUCAGAACAAAAGAGGAGGACUGCAUAUGUAUGGACCCACUCCAGAUGGCACGGGGACGGGGGGAGUAGGAAAAGUGGCAUGGGUUACUCAGGCUGAAAUGCUCAAGACACUCUGUCUCAAGGGAUUUGUGGCUGUUUCAUCCUCAAGUAUAGGGGGAAUAGUGGCCAGGAAGAUCUCAGAGGUGGCUUCUGGAAGAGGAAUCUGGGUACUGGCUACCCUGCCUUGUGUCCCAUCAUUGGUCUGUCUUGCCUGUCUUGGAGCACAUUUCUCACCAAGCCCCCUGCUGAAAUCAUGGGGUAAAAAAGAGACACAGGGGGAAUGGAGGAGCCAGAGAGAAAGCAGUGUGAUCACAGGCACACAGGACAGCAGCUCACCUUCCCAUCCUUGCUGGCUUUUGCACAAAUACUUCUAAGGGGCCAGGCGUGGUGACUCAUGCUUGUAAUUCCAAGCACUUUGGGAGGCUGAGGCAGGUGGAUCACCUGAAGCCAGGAGUUCAAGAGCAGCCUGGCCAACAUGGCGAAACCCUGUCUCUACUAAAAAUACAAAAUUUAGCCAGGCAUGGUGGCGGGAGCCUGUAAUCUCAGCUCCUAGGGAGGCUGAGCCAGAAGAAUCGCUUAAACCUGGAAGCUGGAGGUUGCAGUGAGCCAAGAUCACACCACCACACUCCAGCCUGGGUGACAGAGCAAGACUCCAUCUCAAAAAGAAAAAAAAGAAAAAAA